Molecule: ribosomal RNA, 445 nt
Filed under: uncultured bacterium
Lineage: Bacteria
Description: SSU rRNA
Rfam family: Bacterial small subunit ribosomal RNA
Source: RNAcentral
AGAACGAACGCUGGCGGCAGGCCUAAUACAUGCAAGUCGAACGCACUCUUCGGAGUGAGUGGCAGACGGGUGAGUAACGCGUGGGAACCUUCCCAAUGGUACGGAAUAACUCCGGGAAACCGGUGCUAAUACCGUAUAAGCCCCUCGGGGGAAAGAUUUAUCGCCAUUGGAUGGGCCCACGUCGGAUUAGCUAGUUGGUAAGGUAAUGGCUUACCAAGGCUACGAUCCGUAGCUGGUCUGAGAGGAUGAUCAGCCACACUGGGACUGAGACACGGCCCAGACUCCUACGGGAGGCAGCAGUAGGGAAUCUUGGACAAUGGGCGAAAGCCUGAUCCAGCCAUGCCGCGUGAGUGAAGAAGGCCUUAGGGUUGUAAAGCUCUUUUGGCGGGGACGAUAAUGACGGUACCCGCAGAAUAAGCCCGGCUAACUUCGUGCCAGCAGCCGC